GUGGGGAAUCUUCCGCAAUGGACGAAAGUCUGACGGAGCAACGCCGCGUGAGUGAUGAAGGUCUUCGGAUUGUAAAGCUCUGUUAAUCGGGACGAAAGAGCCUAGUGUGAAUAAUGCUAGGAAGUGACGGUACCGGAAUAGAAAGCCACGGCUAACUACGUGCCAGCAGCCGCGGUAAUACGUAGGUGGCAAGCGUUGUCCGGAAUUAUUGGGCGUAAAGCGCGCGCAGGCGGAUCUGCCAGUCUGUCUUAAAAGUUCGGGGCUUAACCCCGUGAUGGGAUGGAAACUACAGAUCUAGAGUAUCGGAGAGGAAAGUGGAAUUCCUAGUGUAGCGGUGAAAUGCGUAGAUAUGGGGAGGAACACCAGUGGCGAAGGCGGCUUUCUGGACGGUGUCUGACACUGAGGCGCGAAAGCUAGGGGAGCGAACGGGAUUAGAAACCCUUGUAGUCC
This 450-nucleotide ribosomal RNA is filed under the name uncultured bacterium. Its description in RNAcentral is "partial 16S ribosomal RNA". It matches the Rfam family "Bacterial small subunit ribosomal RNA", at positions 354 to 796 of the family's 1533-position model. The record is from RNAcentral.